RNAcentral lists this ribosomal RNA (448 nucleotides) under uncultured bacterium. RNAcentral's name for it is "bacterial SSU rRNA". It matches the Rfam family "Bacterial small subunit ribosomal RNA", at positions 330 to 792 of the family's 1533-position model. The record is from RNAcentral.
UCCAGACUCCUACGGGAGGCAGCAGUGGGGAAUAUUGCACAAUGGGGGGAACCUUGAUGCAGCAACGCCGCGUGGGUGAAGAAGUAUUUCGGUAUGUAAAGCUCUGUCAGCAGGGAAGAAAGAAAUGACGGUACCUGACCAAGAAGCCCCGGCUAACUACGUGCCAGCAGCCGCGGUAAUACGUAGGGGGCAAGCGUUAUCCGGAAUUACUGGGUGUAAAGGGAGCGUAGACGGUGAUGCAAGUCUGGAGUGAAAGGCGGGGGCCCAACCCCCGGACUGCUCUGGAAACUGUAUGACUUGAGCGCAGGGGAGGUAAGCGGAAUUCCUAGUGUAGCGGUGAAAUGCGUAGAUAUUAGGAGGAACACCAGUGGCGAAGGCGGCUUACUGGACUGUAACUGACGUUGAGGCUCGAAAGCGUGGGGAGCAAACAGGAUUAGAUACCCCGGUA